This 831-nucleotide long non-coding RNA is filed under the name Bemisia tabaci. RNAcentral's name for it is "lncRNA ENSSSA1UGG008811". The record is from RNAcentral. Lineage: Eukaryota; Metazoa; Arthropoda; Insecta; Hemiptera; Aleyrodidae.
AUGCAGCAAUUAUCAAAUUACUCUAACGAGUUUUCCUCCGAAGGUUUUGGAUGGAGUGGACCCCCAUCGCUCGUCUCAAGCAGUGAAGCUUCUUCGCCUGUCAAUAUUCCAGAUUUCUAUCUCAAAGAUGGCUUCUCUAAGACAAGUGAUGGAACAUCCGAGAGUGAACGGCUUCCUCACACAUAUUUUGAUGUUGAUGCAUUCAGUUCGACUGACUUGAUGAGCGAUAAUUAUUAUGGACAUCGAGAUAGUAUUGAAAUCGCUGACCUUUAUGUGCCAAACAAAAAAUCCGAUUUUGAUAAUGAAACGAUUGAAACGAUGCGCAGUACUGCUAUUCAUCAUGCCCAGCUCAACACUAUUUUAUAUUCUCAAUCGCCCUCGAUUCCUCAUUUAGAUCAUGAUAAGUAUGAAGGGAGUGGAGAGCUAACCCCUGUGUCCAGUUCUGAGCUGAAGUUCAAUUGGUCUGACUCGGAAGUGAACAAUGAAUCCGAUAAUGACAUGAUGCAUUUAGAGGCGAAUGAAGAGGAAAAGACACUCACUUCAACCAUGAAGGAAACUGACCAAUUAAAAGCAGCUCUGAAAGCGCACAUCGAAGCUCAAAAUAAGCUUUCGUCUCAGGUCUGUGCAGACGGCACCUCAGCUGGCACCAUCAAUGAAGUUGUCAGUGCAAGCGGCGAGCCCUUUGAAAGGACUGAGCCAGACGUUGCUGUAGGUAGCUCAAAAAAAGGUGAAAAAGUAAGCAGGUUCCGCGUCGAUUUUCCGCAGUAUGAUACAACAUCCCAAGCAAGUGCCUUGCCUGAUUCUAAUGCAAGCAGUGAUAAAGAGUCUUGA